This 528-nucleotide ribosomal RNA is filed under the name Triticum aestivum (bread wheat). RNAcentral describes it as "partial small subunit ribosomal RNA". Lineage: Eukaryota; Viridiplantae; Streptophyta; Magnoliopsida; Poales; Poaceae. The record is from RNAcentral.
AUGACAAGGAAGAUCCAGUUGAGGAUAAACCUUCCGAAAUACAAUCCAAACGCCGGCGUCAGCGGCGCCGCUCUAAGUCACGCACAAGAUGAACAAGAUGAACGGGAAGGCAGGCAGGUUAGCCCCGGUAAACAGGCCAUGCACGAAGACUCGGAGGGCGAUAACUACCUUCCGCUCUCCGAGGAUGAGGUGAGACUCGACACCAAGGAUUUCAUCGUGCCUGAGGAACCUCUUGAGCAGGAGCGCUUCAAGCGCCAGCUAAUUGCCACUGCAAGGAGCCUGAAAAAGAAGCAACAACAGCUUCAAGCUAACCAAGAUCUGCUCAAUGAUAAAUGGACCGAUGUCCUAGUAGCCGAAGAGUAUGGCCUCAAGCGCCCAACCAAAAGCUACCCAAAGCGCAAAUUGCUACCUCAGUUUGAUGAGGAGGCGCCGAACUACAUACAUCCAUCGUACAAUGUAGUUGACCGACCACCACGUGGUCGAGACAAAACAUCAACUCACACCGAAUACCAGCCAGCCCUGCCUUAG